Molecule: long non-coding RNA, 465 nt
Filed under: Monodelphis domestica (gray short-tailed opossum)
Lineage: Eukaryota; Metazoa; Chordata; Mammalia; Didelphimorphia; Didelphidae
Description: lncRNA (ENSMODG00000035953.2)
Source: RNAcentral
AACCUGUUAACCAUGUGAUGGAGAGGAGCUUUCUUGAUUGACUGGGAAGCCAAAUUUGAAUGAAUCCAAAAGGCAUUAACCAGUCAAAAUGAAUCUCUUGACCUGGUUCUUUUUCUUUUCAGCUGGAGUUGAAGAAGGAUGAGCUUCUGGAUGGAGGACAAAUGACCCUGCCAUUGCUUCCAUCUCUUUUGUGACAAUUCUUUCCUGUUUAUUUGUUUAAGUGAAAGAGACUUAGGAAAGUGGUGCUCCGAGCUCUAUAUCCAAGGCUUGACUCCCUUUCCUCGAAAUCCUGGUGACAUAAGGACCACACACGAAACCACUUUCAAAGGGAUCGACUGAUUCUGACCAUAGCUGAAGCAUUACUAAAUGGUUACAGAAAACAUCUUGGAUUUCUUUCUAUGUGAUGCUGAUUUUGUGAGUCAGACCAAAAAACGGUAGCUGAUAAUUUUGGAAAAUUCAACAAAA